ACAGCCUUCUGAAAGGAAGAUUAAUACAAGAUGGCAUCAUGAGUCCGCAUGUUCACAUGAUUAAAGGUAUUCCGGUAGACGAUGGGGAUGCGUUCCAUUAGAUAGUAGGCGGGGUAACGGCCCACCUAGUCUUCGAUGGAUAGGGGUUCUGAGAGGAAGGUCCCCCACAUUGGAACUGAGACACGGUCCAAACUCCUACGGGAGGCAGCAGUGAGGAAUAUUGGUCAAUGGGCGAGAGCCUGAACCAGCCAAGUAGCGUGAAGGAUGACUGCCCUAUGGGUUGUAAACUUCUUUUAUAAAGGAAUAAAGUCGGGUAUGGAUACCCGUUUGCAUGUACUUUAUGAAUAAGGAUCGGCUAACUCCGUGCCAGCAGCCGCGGUAAUACGGAGGAUCCGAGCGUUAUCCGGAUUUAUUGGGUUUAAAGGGAGCGUAGAUGGAUGUUUAAGUCAGUUGUGAAAGUUUGCGGCUCAACCGUAAAAUUGCAGUUGAUACUGGAUAUCUUGAGUGCAGUUGAGGCAGGCGGAAUUCGUGGUGUAGCGGUGAAAUGCUUAGAUAUCACGAAGAACUCCGAUUGCGA
RNAcentral lists this ribosomal RNA (577 nucleotides) under uncultured Bacteroidales bacterium. RNAcentral's name for it is "bacterial SSU rRNA". It matches the Rfam family "Bacterial small subunit ribosomal RNA", at positions 143 to 718 of the family's 1533-position model. The record is from RNAcentral. Lineage: Bacteria; Pseudomonadati; Bacteroidota; Bacteroidia; Bacteroidales.